AGGUGUUUGCAUUAUUGAGAAUCAGAUGGUUUCUGGACUGAAUUUGCUACAUUUAUCCAAUGGGCAGAGAGAAACACAUAUGCAGUAGCAGCUUCCUUCCUCCUUUCCAAACCUCAUACUUUUAUUGGAUUGGCAGAAGUUCUUUUCUUAGGUUUUAUUCUUCUUCUACUGAGAUAAACACUUCUGAAUUUUCCAGAUUGUCAAGAGAAAGAGUAAAUAAUAGAGGGGGUUAAUCUGUUUGAAGUACCAUAUAUACAUGCAUGAAAUCUCCAGGGGAACCCACUUUGAACAAUCAAUAUACACUUAAAAAAUGAAGAACAUGAAGAAACCAAAGGAAGCUUCAUGAAAAAAGUAACGUGUGAACUGGCUUGGAAAGAUAAAUGGGAGUUUGGGUGGCACACAGUAGGAGGAAAGAUUACAGAAAGAAGAAUACAGAUUGAUUUGUCCAAUAUCAUAUAACUGAGAGGUGGCAGAACCACUGUGGAAUCCUAGGUUUUCUGACUCAUCUCUAAUCCGAACUGCUGAGGACAUCUUGUUUACUCUUCUUCAAAUAUUGCUAUUAUGAUUUCACUGUUUUGUACUGUCAUAGUCUGAUGAAUUAAGUGGUAUUCAAACUCUUCGUAUCUAAUUGGAAUCUGCCUUCCCACAGCAUUAAGGAGAGUUCUAAGAAGGUUAGUAGUUGCUAUAAGAAUUCCUAGAUGUGGUUGCCUUGCUGUGACCUUAAAAAGAUUUUUAAAACUUAGAGAAAAACUAAAAAUGUCUUGAAAACAACACAAAUCAUUAUAUAAUCAACUGCUCGACAAUAUGAUUUAGUGUGUAAGUUCUGUAGAAGUUCAGAGAAAAAGAUCAUUUGAACAUUGG
Molecule: non-coding RNA, 861 nt
Organism: Castor canadensis (American beaver)
Lineage: Eukaryota; Metazoa; Chordata; Mammalia; Rodentia; Castoridae
Source: RefSeq, a predicted model, not a curated record